ACCCUGAGGUAGCUCAGUUGGUUAGAGCAUGGUGGUGAUAACGCCAAGGUCACAGGUUUGAUCCCCGUUUGGGACA
This is a non-coding RNA of Podarcis lilfordi (Lilford's wall lizard), 76 nucleotides long. Lineage: Eukaryota; Metazoa; Chordata; Lepidosauria; Squamata; Lacertidae. The record is from the annotation of a GenBank genome assembly.